This 498-nucleotide ribosomal RNA is filed under the name uncultured bacterium. Its description in RNAcentral is "partial 16S ribosomal RNA". It matches the Rfam family "Bacterial small subunit ribosomal RNA", at positions 30 to 523 of the family's 1533-position model. The record is from RNAcentral.
AUUGAACGCUGGCGGCAUGCCUUACACAUGCAAGUCGAACGAUAACAGGUCUUCGGAUGCUGACGAGUGGCGAACGGGUGAGUAAUACAUCGGAACGUGCCUAGUAGUGGGGGAUAACUACUCGAAAGAGUGGCUAAUACCGCAUGAGAUCUACGGAUGAAAGCAGGGGAUCGCAAGACCUUGUGCUACUAGAGCGGCCGAUGGCAGAUUAGGUAGUUGGUGGGAUAAAAGCUUACCAAGCCGACGAUCUGUAGCUGGUCUGAGAGGACGAUCAGCCACGCUGAGACUGAGACACGGACCAGACUACUACGGGAGGAAGCAGUGGGGAAUUUUGGACAAUGGGCGAAAGCCUGAUCCAGCAAUGCCGCGUGCAGGAAGAAGGCCUUCGGGUUGUAAACUGCUUUUAUACGGAACGAAAAGCCCCGGGUUAAUACCCUGGGGUCAUGACGGUACCGUAAGAAUAAGCACCGGCUAACUACGUGCCAGCCGCCGCAGUAA